Molecule: ribosomal RNA, 253 nt
Filed under: uncultured bacterium
Lineage: Bacteria
Description: partial 16S ribosomal RNA
Rfam family: Bacterial small subunit ribosomal RNA
Source: RNAcentral
UACAGAGGGGGCGAGCGUUGUUCGGAAUUACUGGGCGUAAAGGGCGCGUAGGCGGCCUGCUAAGUCGGACGUGAAAUCCCUCGGCUCAACCGGGGAACUGCGUCCGAUACUGGCGGGCUUGAAUCCGUGAGAGGAAUGCGGAAUUCCAGGUGUAGCGGUGAAAUGCGUAGAUAUUAGGAAGAACACCAGUGGCGAAGGCGGCUCACUGGCCCGGUACUGACGCUGAGGCGCGAAAGCGUGGGGAGCAAACAGG